UGGGGGAUAUUGCACAAUGGGCGAAAGCCUGAUGCAGCAACGCCGCGUGAGGGAAGACGGUUUUCGGAUUGUAAACCUCUGUCUUCGGUGAAGACAAAAAUGACGGUAGCCGAGGAGUAAGCCACGGCUAACUACGUGCCAGCAGCCGCGGUAAUACGACGGUGGCGAGCGUUGUCCGGAAUUACUGGGUGUAAAGGGAGCGCAGGCGGGGAGACAAGUCAGCUGUGAAAACUAUGGGCUUAACCCAUAAACUGCAGUUGAAACUGUUUUUCGUGAGUGGAGUAGAGGUAGGCGGAAUUCCGAGUGUAGCGGUGAAAUGCGUAGAUAUUCGGAGGAACACCAGUGGCGAAGGCGGCCUACUGGGCUCUAACUGACGCUGAGGCGCGAAAGUGUGGGGAGCAAACA
RNAcentral lists this ribosomal RNA (405 nucleotides) under uncultured prokaryote. RNAcentral describes it as "bacterial SSU rRNA". It matches the Rfam family "Bacterial small subunit ribosomal RNA", at positions 355 to 774 of the family's 1533-position model. The record is from RNAcentral.